AUCAAUGUGUGGGGAAAAAGAAACCACCAGGGAUUUCCUCCGUAACGGCGAAUGAAGGCGCCAAAGCUUAAAUUUGAAAUCCCCCCGGAAUUGUAAUUUUAAAAGAUUUGGGUCCGGCCGGCGGGGGUUAAGUCCACUGGAAAGUGGCGCCACAGAGGGUGACAGCCCCGUGAACCCCCUUAACGCCCUCAUCCCAAAUCUCCAAGAGUCGAGUUGUUUGGGAAUGCAGCUCUAAGUGGGUGGUAAAUUCCAUCUAAAGCUAAAUACCGGCGAGAGACCGAUAGCGAACAAGUACAGUGAUGGAAAGAUGAAAAGCACUUUGAAAAGAGAGUGAAAAAGUACGUGAAAUUGUUGAAAGGGAAGGGCUUGCAAGCAGACACUUAACUGGGCCAGCAUCGGGGCGGCGGGGAGCAAACCACCGGGGAAUGUCCCUUUGGAGGAUUAAACCCCCGCCCUUACUUCCUCACGACCCCAAGGCCUGCAAUCUAAGGAUGCUGGCGUAAUGGUUGCAAGUCCCCCGUCUU
Molecule: ribosomal RNA, 524 nt
Filed under: Metschnikowia sp. (in: budding yeasts & allies)
Lineage: Eukaryota; Fungi; Ascomycota; Pichiomycetes; Serinales; Metschnikowiaceae
Description: eukaryotic LSU rRNA
Rfam family: Eukaryotic large subunit ribosomal RNA
Source: RNAcentral